UUCUAUGGGUCUCUAUGGGGUCUAUGGGCCUUUAUGGGUCUCUAUGGGAUUUCAAUGGGUCUGUAUGGGAUCUAUGGGGUCUCAAUGGGUCUGUAGGGGAUCUAUGGGGUCUCAAUGGGUCUGUAUGGGAUCUAUGGGAUCUGUGUGCGUCUGUGGGUCUCUGUGGGGUCUCUGUGGGGUCUCUGUGGGGUGUGUGUUUGCUGUGUGUCCCUAUGGGGCGCUGUGUGACCCUAUGGGGCGCCGUGUGACCCUAUGGGGCGCUGUGUGA
RNAcentral lists this long non-coding RNA (268 nucleotides) under Gallus gallus (chicken). Lineage: Eukaryota; Metazoa; Chordata; Aves; Galliformes; Phasianidae. The record is from RNAcentral.